AAGAUGGCUCUGGCCCUGUGUGGAGAAUGGGUUGAAGGAACACAGACGCAGCAGCAGAACCGGUCCUCAUCCUUGAACCAGGUGAGAACUUCUAGCUUACUGGGUAAAGUCCAAUUAACGUGGUGCAGAAUUCCAUCCAUGGCAGGGCUCCUGCUGUCUCCAGCCUCAUCUCCAGGCACACCCUGCACCCUUGAGAAGACAAUGCUUCCGUGUCCACCAGUUCAUUCCUUCCAGACACAUCCCAGUGGUGUCUAGCUCAGGUCUCAGCUCCUGGAAAGGGACAAGGACGCCCCAGAGUCUGCUUUUUUGACACUUACCUUCUGGUCCCCCUGAAAAAUCAUGCUGCAUCACGCCUGCACAUUGUCCUUUCUGCGGAAAUGUCCUGUCUCCCCAUCUCUAUCUGCCAAAGACCCACGCAUAAUGCAAACAAUUCAGGUUUCACCCAUUGCCCUUGCUAAGCUAGACCCAGGCAAAAGACAAACCCCAGAGCAACAGUGCGAGGCGGUGCUCCACGCUCCAUCUCAGAGCAGAGCAACCUUAGGACCCCAUUUCAGAAUCCCCUCAAUGAAGUGUAUGGUGGAAGGGCCUGAUUCGUGUCAUGAGAGGUAACAACACCACUACCAACAUCCUGCUUCUCGUCCCCCAGCCCCUGCAAGGGUGCAGUGUGGCUACAGGGGGUGUCUCUGCAGUGAUUCCUCCCUUUACAGGGAAUGAGUCAGGUCCUCUGAAGAAAAGGUGUAAAAAGAAAAAAGAGUGUGUUGUCAAUACUUCAAAGCCUCAGCCAGCAUCAUCUGAUCUAGGAAAGGUGUGAUGGGGUAGGAUAAUCGAUCGCUGCUUAAUUUCCACUGGUUUCUGCAGGGUGCAGACCAGGAAAUUAGACAUUGGGCCUUCCCAGCAGGUCAAGAAACCCAUGUCAGAUACAGCAAAAUCAGCCUCUGUGGCCAGGGGACAGAGGCGUGUGGCGUCUACAAGAAACAAAGAACACAAAGGUUUCCAAGACCAUACUCUGAAAUCUCUGCUCCUUAGAACAGACUCUAAGCUACUACAGAAAAACCACAAGGAAGUUUUCCAUCUGCUUUUUUCCCCUAGUAUCUUCUCCCUAUCUCAAAAACAAAAAAACAAAACAAAACAAAACUUUAAAAAUCCAUGAAGCAUUAGCUAUUUUUAGAAAUUUUAACUUUUCUAUUAUCUAACAAUACAUAUUUCCUGAGCAUUUUAAGUCCAUUUUAAUUUUGUGUACUAUUUAAUGGUAAAUCGUGGUAUAUAUCCUCAACAUAAUACUUCAUAUCCUUGCAGUCCGAUUAUUCAGUCAGCCUUCACUUCUUCAGAUUAAACAAUAUAACUUCAAUUUGCAUAUGUUCUCCAGGUUAUUGCAAAAUAAACCUGUUUCAGUGCAUUUGAAGUAUAGAACAGUGAUCAUUUUAAAUCACACUCAAUUGCCCAGCUUUUCAUUUGAAUAAAAUUCAGGUACCGUUUAGUUCACAAAGAUAAUUUUACUUCAAGAUUUACAGUCGUGCCUCUCAUCUAAAGCAAUCUUCCUCACCCUCUCCCCGGCACUAUUUCUCACCAGCCCUCAAACCCACAAGGCCUCAUUCAAAAAUGAUGAAUCAAGAAGAAAAUAUAAUGUAAAUAGCUGCUGUAUUAGAAAAAUGCACUGGGAAUCUUUGAAAGCCAGGGAGAAUAUAUUAAUAUUCUAUAUUUCUUUUAUCAUACCAAAAAAAAAAAAAAAGGCAGGCUAUGCCUUAGAGCAAGGCUGCAACAGUGUGUCCCAUGUAGGAAAGAUAUUUGCAAGGCCGUCUGGCCUAAAUGCUCACCAUUAACCAAAGCAGGAGCUCUGGGAAGCUCCUGGGAAGUCCAGCCAUGUGGGGCCACCAAAACAUAAUGGAAAAUGCCCACCACACACUACACGCUUCUUCAUUACAUUGGCUCAAUACUGAGAAUGACCGCACAGGACAGCCCUCUUGCAUGACACUAAGGUUUUGUAGGUGAACUGCCACCUGUUAGAUUUCCACUUCCUUUGUUCUCCUACAGUGAGGUCUUUGUCCUGAGUUGAGGGGAGGACAGAUUUUGGUGGGAAGAUGAUCUGAGUUUAAAGGGGCUCUGAGAGAUCCACAUGCAGCUGUCUAGUAGGUUAAUGGGAAUACCCAUCCAACACUCUGGAAAGAGGUCCUUGCUGGAGAUGGAAAUCUAGGGUCCUUCACAUUGGCAUGGUUGUUGGAACCACGGCUGGGUCAGAGUUGUUGAGGAGCACAGACCUCUGAAGGGGGAAGAACAAGGAACCUUGGGAGCACCGAUAAUUGCUGGAUACACGAGCUCUGCGACAGGAAGGCAAGCAUAAGGCUGUCAUGCCAUAAAAACUAAGGCAAGAGAGAGUUUCCAUGCGAGGGAGGGGUCACACGAACUGAAUACAGUCCAAAGGACUGUAGGCAGUGGAUGAUACUAUUUAGGAGGUCUAAAUAUAGCUCUAGUAAUCUCAGCAAGAAUAAGUUACAAUGAAACAAUUACGGGUAAGGGAGAAGCUAGCUAGAUUUCACU
RNAcentral lists this long non-coding RNA (2535 nucleotides) under Homo sapiens (human). RNAcentral describes it as "non-protein coding lnc-COA6-7:1". Lineage: Eukaryota; Metazoa; Chordata; Mammalia; Primates; Hominidae. The record is from RNAcentral.